Molecule: ribosomal RNA, 508 nt
Filed under: uncultured bacterium
Lineage: Bacteria
Description: partial 16S ribosomal RNA
Rfam family: Bacterial small subunit ribosomal RNA
Source: RNAcentral
GAUGAACGCUAGCUACAGGCUGAACACAUGCAAGUCGAGGGGAAACGAUAUUGGAAGCUUGCUUCCGAUAGGCGUCGACCGGCGCACGGGUGAGUAACGCGUAUCCAACCUGCCCACCACUUGGGGAUAACCUUGCGAAAGUAAGACUAAUACCCAAUGACGUCCAUAGAAGACAUCUGAAAUGGAUUAAAGAUUUAUCGGUGAUGGAUGGGGAUGCGUCUGAUUAGCUUGUUGGCGGGGUAACGGCACACCAAGGCGACGAUCAGUAGGGGUUCUGAGAGGAAGGUCCCCCACAUUGGAACUGGGACACGGUCCAAACUCCUACGGGAGGCAGCAGUGAGGAAUAUUGGUCAAUGGGCGAGAGCCUGAACCAGCCAAGUAGCGUGCAGGAUGACGGCCCUAUGGGUUGUAAACUGCUUUUAUAAGGGAAUAAAGUGAGCCUCGUGAGGCUUUUUGCAUGUACCUUAUGAAUAAGGACCGGCUAAUUCCGUGCCAGCCGCCGCCGUAA